RNAcentral lists this small nuclear RNA (29 nucleotides) under Cervus elaphus hippelaphus. Lineage: Eukaryota; Metazoa; Chordata; Mammalia; Artiodactyla; Cervidae. The record is from RNAcentral.
GUGCUCGCUUCGGCAACACAUAUACCAAA